This 92-nucleotide small RNA is filed under the name Arabidopsis thaliana (thale cress). Its description in RNAcentral is "ATSL089300". Lineage: Eukaryota; Viridiplantae; Streptophyta; Magnoliopsida; Brassicales; Brassicaceae. The record is from RNAcentral.
UUUUUAGAGAGUAAACAAAGGGGAACUCGCAUACUGGAUCGACACCCUUGACUUUUUCCAACCUUUGUAAUUGAUCAUUCCAAAUAAUGUAU